CUUGCGGGUAUGCGUCAGCUACGGCGAGUGAGCGGCAAAAGCUCAAAUUUGAAAUCUGGCACUUUCAGUGUCCGAGUUGUAAUUUGUAGAAGUAGUUUUGGGACUGGUCCUUAUCUAUGUUUCUUGGAACAGGACGUCAUAGAGGGUGAGAACCCCGUAUGAUGAGGCCCCCAGUCCUUUGUAAAACGCUUUCGAAGAGUCGAGUUGUUUGGGAAUGCAGCUCUAAGUGGGUGGUAAAUUCCAUCUAAAGCUAAAUAUUGGCGAGAGACCGAUAGCGAACAAGUACAGUGAUGGAAAGAUGAAAAGAACUUUGAAAAGAGAGUGAAAAAGUACGUGAAAUUGUUGAAAGGGAAGGGCAUUUGAUCAGACAUGGUGUUUUGCGCCCUUUGCUCCUUGUGGGCGGAGGAUACGCAGCUCACUGGGCCAACAUCAGUUUUGGGAGCAGGAUAAAUCUGUAGGAACGUAGCUUUCUUCGGGAAGUGUUAUAGCCUAUGGGAAUACUGCUACCUGGGACUGAGGACUGCGUCUUUUGACAAGGAUGUUGGCAUAAUGGUUAAAUGCCGCCCGUCUUGAAACACGGACCCA
RNAcentral lists this ribosomal RNA (585 nucleotides) under Hanseniaspora occidentalis. Its description in RNAcentral is "partial large subunit ribosomal RNA". It matches the Rfam family "Eukaryotic large subunit ribosomal RNA", at positions 66 to 669 of the family's 3401-position model. Lineage: Eukaryota; Fungi; Ascomycota; Saccharomycetes; Saccharomycodales; Saccharomycodaceae. The record is from RNAcentral.